UACGGAGGGUGCUAGCGUUGUUCGGAUUGACUGGGCGUAAAGGGCGUGUAGGCGGUUGGUCAAGUCUGAUGUGAAAGCCCGAAGCUUAGCUUCGGAAGUGCGUCGGAAACUAGCCGACUAGAGCGCGAUAGAGGAGGGUGGAAUUCCUGGUGUAGCGGUGAAAUGCGUAGAUAUCAGGAGGAACACCGGCGGCGAAGGCGGCCCUCUGGAUCGUUGCUGACGCUGAGACGCGAAAGCGUGGGGAGCAAACAGG
RNAcentral lists this ribosomal RNA (253 nucleotides) under uncultured bacterium. Its description in RNAcentral is "partial 16S ribosomal RNA". It matches the Rfam family "Bacterial small subunit ribosomal RNA", at positions 524 to 776 of the family's 1533-position model. The record is from RNAcentral.